AUGGUCACUAUCUGUUGUUUGGGAAGUAAAGAAAAGGCGAAAGAUGCCAUCUUUUACUCAUAAAAGGCGAAGAUGAUGAGGGCCAUUUCUUUGAUGAUUCGUCGACGACCACCGUCUCCUUGCGGUCUUCAAGUUUAAAGUCGACCCAACUUAAAAAAAAGGCCAUGGUGACGAACGCAAACCCCAACGGCGCCCUUCGAUGAUGACGACUAGG
RNAcentral lists this long non-coding RNA (214 nucleotides) under Helianthus annuus (common sunflower). RNAcentral's name for it is "sRNA HanXRQr2_Chr10g0450181". The record is from RNAcentral. Lineage: Eukaryota; Viridiplantae; Streptophyta; Magnoliopsida; Asterales; Asteraceae.